UUUAACGGCUCUUCGAACACGCCUGUUAACGUUUUAAGAUUAAAGACAAACGACUUCGCCAUAGUAUGAUUCUAAACUUCACUUCACCUGAAAGAAUAUCUAAUUAUUCUUCAUGAAAACACUUUAUUCUCAGAUAAGGCAUGAACCGACAUCGUUAUAUCGGCAUCUUUUUGUGCGUAGGCCUGUAUCUUUGAAAGUGAAGACAAUCGACAAACCAAAAAGACAAACACAGUCCUAAUGAUGACCCAUGAGGACGGCAACAUCCGAGAUGGAGUCCUACAGAAUCUUUCAUGGUCUCUAGAGCAAGAAGAAGUGUGUUUGAAGAAAGAGGGGGAUGGCUCCAGCACGGCAGUAAGCCGCUUGGAGAAUCAUUGAAAGGGUGAACGAAGAGCCAACACCGAGGGAUUAAUUAUUUCGAUGUCUAGGACCGGCCUAGAUUUACCAAACCACUCAGAGACACAAGAAAAUCCUCUCACCUUUGUAUGAGAACAACAUACAUGCAAACAUUUCAAUCCAAUGUCCAGAGAGGAGCAGAGGAUCAUGGGAACAGACAUUGAGUGUUUAAGUCAGGGCAAGGCGCUGUGGUCAGUUUACAGUAUUUCUGCUUAGCCUUGAAACUGAAUAAUAUAAUCAAUGGUACUGUUUGA
Triplophysa dalaica is the source of this 647-nucleotide long non-coding RNA. RefSeq lists it as uncharacterized. The record is from RefSeq and is a predicted model, not a curated record. The transcript is spliced from 4 exons. NCBI's taxonomy places the organism in Eukaryota, Metazoa, Chordata, Actinopteri, Cypriniformes, Nemacheilidae.